UUAAAACCCAAAGGACUUGACGGUACCCCACAUCCCCCUAGAGGAGCCUGUCCUAUAAUCGAUAACCCACGUUUAACCUCACCAUUUUUAGUUAAUCAGCCUGUAUACCUCCGUCGUCAGCUUACCACGUGAGCGUUAGUUAGUGAGCCCAAUGUAUUUCACCAAAACGUCAGGUCAAGGUGCAGUAAAUGAAAUGGAAAGAGAUGGGCUACACUUUCUACUUUAGAAAAAACGAAAAACUACCUAUGAAAUCUAGUUAAAAGGCGGAUUUAGUAGUAAAAAGGAAUCAGCAUGUCCAUUUUAACCCGGCACUGGGGUGUGU
RNAcentral lists this ribosomal RNA (322 nucleotides) under Nectophrynoides tornieri (Tornier's forest toad). Its description in RNAcentral is "partial 12S ribosomal RNA". It matches the Rfam family "Bacterial small subunit ribosomal RNA", at positions 894 to 1384 of the family's 1533-position model. Lineage: Eukaryota; Metazoa; Chordata; Amphibia; Anura; Bufonidae. The record is from RNAcentral.